RNAcentral lists this ribosomal RNA (631 nucleotides) under Cunninghamella polymorpha. RNAcentral's name for it is "LSU rRNA". It matches the Rfam family "Eukaryotic large subunit ribosomal RNA", at positions 87 to 638 of the family's 3401-position model. Lineage: Eukaryota; Fungi; Mucoromycota; Mucoromycetes; Mucorales; Cunninghamellaceae. The record is from RNAcentral.
CGGCGAGUGAAGAGGGAAAAGCUCAAAGUUGGAACCUGGUAGGCAUAGCUUACCCGGAUUGUAAACUAAAGUUUUCGAGUCGUUUAGUCAGCCAGGUAAAUAAGUCCUCUGGAAAGGGGCGACAUAGAGGGUGAAAUCCCCGUCUUUGGCCUGAGUUUUGAUUAGGCGUUUGGCUUGGAAACGAAGAGUCAGGUUGUUUGGGAAUGCAGCCUAAAAUGGGAGGUAAAUCUCUCCUAAAGCUAAAUAUUGACGAAAGACCGAUAGCGAACAAGUACCGUGAGGGAAAGAUGAAAAGCACUUUGAAAAGAGGGUCAAAAAGUACGUGAAAUUGCUGAAAGGGAACCGUAUGAAAUCAGAUCUACUGGUAGGUAAUCAAUCUUUCCUUUGGGAAGGAUGCACUUGCCUACUAUGUAUGCCAGCGACAUUUUGGUUGGGAGGAAAAAAAUAAAGGAAAUGUAGCUUAGGUUUCGGCUUAGGUGUUAUAGUCCUUUAUAAAAUACUCUCGGCUGGAAUGAGGAACGCAGCAAACCGUAAGGCGAAGAUUUCAGGCGCUUAGAGGGAAUAAUUAGAGAAUUUCUGCUUCGGGUGGUGCUUUGAUUAUUACCUUUAACACGCUUGGAGUUCUUUUAAU